CCUACGGGAGGCAGCAGUGAGGAAUAUUGGUCAAUGGGCGCGAGCCUGAACCAGCCAAGUCGCGUGAGGGAGGACGGCCCUACGGGUUGUAAACCUCUUUUGCCGGGGAGCAACGGGCGUCACGUGUGGCGCCACUGAGAGUACCCGUAGAAAAAGCAUCGCCUAACUCCGUGCCAGCAGCCGCGGUAAUACGGAGGAUGCGAGGGUUAUCCGGAUUUUUUGGGUUUAAGGGGUGCGUAGGCGGUUGGUAAAGUCAGUGGUAAAAUUGGGGGGCCAAACCCCUUCCCGCCAUUGAAACUGGCGCUCUUGAGUGGAAGAGAAGUAUGCGGAAUGCGUGGUGUAGCGGUGAAAUGCAUAGAUAUCACGCAGAACCCCGAUUGCGAAGGCAGCAUGCCGGCUUCCGACUGACGCUGAAGCACGAAAGCGUGGGGAUCGAACAGGAUUAGAUACCCCUGUAGUC
RNAcentral lists this ribosomal RNA (460 nucleotides) under uncultured bacterium. Its description in RNAcentral is "partial 16S ribosomal RNA". It matches the Rfam family "Bacterial small subunit ribosomal RNA", at positions 338 to 795 of the family's 1533-position model. The record is from RNAcentral.